GGCUACCGCUAUUGGAGUUCGAUUAAGCCAUGCGAGUCUAGAGGCCUAGCCUCGGCGUACCGCUCAGUAACACGUGGGUAACCUACCCUAUGCUGGGGAAUAAGCUCGGGAAACUGAGAAUAAUACCCCAUAGUCCACUACGCCUGGAACGGUGAGUGGAUCAAAGCUCCGGCGGCAUAGGAUGGGCCUGCGGCGUAUCAGGUUGUAGGGGGUGUAAUGUACCCUCUAGCCAUCCACGCGUACGGGUGUUGGGAGACAUUGCCCGGAGAUGGAUUCUGAGACACGAAUCCAGACCCUACGGGGUGCAGCAGGCGCGAAAACUUGGCAAUGCGAGAAAUCGUGACCAGGGAACUCCAAGUGGCAGGGGUAAGACCCUGUCUUUUUCCGACUCUAAAUAGGUCGGCGAAUAAGGGGUGGGUAAGGACGGUGCCAGCCGCCGCGGUAAUACCGGCGCCUCAAGUGGUAGUCGCUUUUAUUGGGCCUAAAACGUCCGUAGCCGGUCUGGUACAUUCGUGGGUAAAUCAACUCGCUCAACGAGUUGAAUUCUGCGAGGACGGCCAGACUUGGGACCGGGAGAGGUGUGGGGUACUCUCAGGGUAGGGGUAAAAUCCUGUCAUCCUGAGAGGACCACCUGUUGCGAAGGCUCCACACUAGAACGGAUCCGACGGUCAGGGACGAAGCCUAGGGGCACGAACCGGAUUAGAUACCCGGGUAGUCCUAGGUGUAAACGCUGUGGACUUGAUGUUGGGGACGCUCCGAGCGUUCUCAGUGUCGAAGCGAAGGUGAUAAGUCCACUGCCUGGGGAGUACGGUCGCAAGGCUGAAACUUAAAGGAAUUGGCGGGGGAGCACCGCAACCUGAGGAUUGUGCGGUUU
This 874-nucleotide ribosomal RNA is filed under the name uncultured archaeon. Its description in RNAcentral is "bacterial SSU rRNA". It matches the Rfam family "Archaeal small subunit ribosomal RNA", at positions 22 to 903 of the family's 1478-position model. The record is from RNAcentral.